UGAAGAGAGACAAAUAAAAUUGAAGCAUCCUAAUAAUGUUUACAUUGUUAGCCCAACAUCCUGCUGUGAAGUUCUGGAGAGGAUCAACUCUGGAAAGCUCUUAUGUAGAGUCUUCUCACACUUAACAUCAUACCUUUACGAGCCAUGUGACUCAAUGAUCUACGGAGCCUAUGUGUGUGGUCCAUCAAAGAUGCAGAUUCUGGACGAGACAAACUUGCAAGGAAGGGCAAUGAUCCUUGAGGACGGGUAUGGCCGCAAAGUUGUCUUUUCUCUCCUUCACGACCUUGAUUAAAGAAAUACGGAAAUAUGUACAUAGUUGGAUUUUUGAAAAUUCAAUUGCUGUGGCGCCUGCAUUAUGGGUAGAGGAGGUGAAUGGGGUUCUGAUUUGCUACUGGCCCCGUAGAAAUGCUGAUGCCAUGGCAAAGGCCUCCCAAAAGGCCAGAUAAGGAGCUCUGUAAGCGAC
Pimephales promelas (fathead minnow) is the source of this 463-nucleotide non-coding RNA. NCBI's taxonomy places the organism in Eukaryota, Metazoa, Chordata, Actinopteri, Cypriniformes, Leuciscidae. The record is from RefSeq and is a predicted model, not a curated record.